RNAcentral lists this ribosomal RNA (197 nucleotides) under uncultured soil bacterium. Its description in RNAcentral is "partial 16S ribosomal RNA". It matches the Rfam family "Bacterial small subunit ribosomal RNA", at positions 27 to 252 of the family's 1533-position model. The record is from RNAcentral.
GAACGAACGCUGGCGGCAUGCCUAAUACAUGCAAGUCGAACGAACACUUCGGUGUUAGUGGCGCACGGGUGCGUAACGCGUGGGAAUCUGCCCUUGGGUUCGGAAUAACAGUUGGAAACGACUGCUAAUACCGGAUGAUAUCGAAAGAUCAAAGAUUUAUCGCCCAGGGAUGAGCCCGCGUAGGAUUAGCUAGUUGG